AAAGGGGAAGCGAGAGCAAGCGAAAGACUCAGUCCCCGGGCGGCGGCGGCGGCGGCGGCCGCGGGGGCGCGACGGCCGGGGCGGGGGCGCUGCUGCUGCGGGGGCAGGCGGCGGCAGGGGCGGCGGCGGCGGCGGCGGCCCGCUCCAGCCAUGCCGAAUAAAAACAAGAAGGAGAAAGAAUCACCAAAAGCAGGGAAGAGUGGAAAAAGUUCAAAAGAAGGACAAGACACAGUAGAAUCAGAGCAAAUUUCCGUCAGGAAAAACAGCCUUGUUGCUGUCCCGUCUACAGUAUCUGCUAAAAUAAAAGUACCAGUCUCUCAGCCCAUAGUGAAGAAAGACAAACGGCAAAAUUCUUCAAGGUUUAGCGCAAGCAAUAAUAGAGAACUUCAAAAACUACCAUCCUUAAAAGGUCCCCCCACAUUGUAGCACGUGCCAGACCCUCGCUCCCGUCGAAGGCUGAUGCCAUCCUUCAGUGAUGUGUGGACGGACACAUUCCGCGUAUCCCCCAAUCAGUGGAUGGACGCGUGGGUUGCAGAGCACGCCACACACAUUCAGUCAGUACACGAGUUAACAGUUGCGUGCUUGUCUGCCUGUGUCAUCCAUUCGAGCAUCUGCCAAGGACCCAGGAAACACACAGUGUGUCUCCUGAAGGAAUGAAAAGCCCUCCUGGCCCCUCUGCCCUCUUUCUCCACCCUCUCCAUUUUCACCGAGAUGGUUGUGGUGUCACCUCUCGUGGGGUGGCCAAAACCCCAGCCAGGGCCACCUAUCCCUUCACCUCCCUCCACCUCGGAUUUCCUCUUGGAAAAUGAGGCUCCUGACUCACUUGACCUACUGCGUAGGCUCCUAAAAGGGUGUCGGCAAGUUGGCAAGUUAAAAAAAAAAACAAUCAGCAUGAAAGCACUCCGAUGUAUGCAUACUUUUACUUCGCGUUGGUUCCCUACGUUCUUAGAACAAGGAAGGAGUGUGAGUACUUGCUUUGGAUUGAAAGGUUUUCCAGACUAGCUGUAGGAAGUAUGAAAGUAACCAAGGUCUCACACACAGCCCCAGCACUCUGGGUGGAUUUCACUUCAUCUACUCCACUCACCUACGCUGAGCUUCCCUGUGGACAAGCUCGUCCAUCCUCUUUAAUCACUCCCAGGCCUCGCUCACACAGCAACAAGUGCCUGUCCCUGUGUCCUUGCUGUUGGCAAGCAGAAGUUCCCUGGCAGCCUUUGAACAUAGCUGAAUGUUAGGUAUCUUUGAUCUGUCUAAGGAAAAAGUCUAUUUUAAACUGUGAAGUGAAGCCAAUUUUUUUAGGUCAGAUUCUUACCCAACAAAGCAUACAUCAUCCGUGCUCAUAUAGUUUCCAGUUUAAAAAAAAAAAAAAGUGCUGGCCAGCGCAGUGUGAGUGCACUGUGCACAUGAUGCCACUGUUCUCUAGGUUCAGAACACCAGCCUUCUGUUAAUUACAAUAAAAUGUCUUCACU
RNAcentral lists this long non-coding RNA (1466 nucleotides) under Homo sapiens (human). RNAcentral describes it as "long non-coding RNA NONHSAT168967.1". The record is from RNAcentral. Lineage: Eukaryota; Metazoa; Chordata; Mammalia; Primates; Hominidae.